This 358-nucleotide transfer RNA is filed under the name uncultured Microcystis sp. Its description in RNAcentral is "partial 16S-23S ribosomal RNA intergenic spacer". The stretch from base 134 to 207 matches the Rfam family "tRNA". The record is from RNAcentral. Lineage: Bacteria; Bacillati; Cyanobacteriota; Cyanophyceae; Chroococcales; Microcystaceae.
AAGGGAGACCUAAUUCAGGUAGGAGACGAAAAAAAGUAGUCGCUACCAAGAAUCAAUCCCAAAAGGUCGGAGCGAGGCGAAAUUGGCUUUCAAACUAGGUUCUGGGUUCACACAAGACCUGAAUCAGGAACAAGGGCUAUUAGCUCAGGUGGUUAGAGCGCACCCCUGAUAAGGGUGAGGUCCCUGGUUCGAGUCCAGGAUGGCCCACCUGCACAGGUGGCAAAAACAAGAGAAGCGAGGAAUCAGCACCUUAUCUUACUGACAUAGUAAGAGAGAAUGCUGGCUCUGAGUAAAGAGUCCAGAGGAACCUUGAAAACUGCAUAGAGCUAGGUGAAAAAGCCAAAAAAGAAGACCGCAA